CCUCAGGGCCAGCCUAGGUGGGGCUGUCACCAUGAACAAACCUACCUCUGCACAGAUUUGGGAAAGAGAAAGUUAAGCUGCCCUGCUGGAAUUGAACCAGUGACCUAAGACAGGAAAGGAUUGCUUACAACUCAAAACAUCGCCGAGUAA
This 150-nucleotide long non-coding RNA is filed under the name Anas platyrhynchos platyrhynchos (common mallard). RNAcentral describes it as "lncRNA (ENSAPLG00000031130.1)". Lineage: Eukaryota; Metazoa; Chordata; Aves; Anseriformes; Anatidae. The record is from RNAcentral.